ACAAUCACUGCACUAAAAGCAAUUGUCUCUAUUUCUCGUUCUAUCCCUCUCGACAUCACAGCUACAACCCACAGCCGACCUCGCACUUUCCGCCCUCCGUUUCCCGUUCCAUAUUUACCGUCGUUGUCUCCUGCCAGAAAAGAAUUAUAGAUUCGUCAUUGUCAUUCUGGUUUCAAUCAUUAUCUCAGGCGUCAAUCAACUUGUCAUCCAACAGUUUUUUAGUUGUGUCGUCAUCUGAAUCGCUUCAUUGUCACUCAAUUCGCCGGAGCAGUGAAGAUUUGCAACAUUUGAUUAUUAGAAACAAUGGGGCUUUCGGAUUUAUUUUCCAUUGCUUCUUUUCCAGUUAUAAAGACGCUACUUUUCACUGUGGUUGGCUCUCUUCUUGCUCUGGAUCACAUAAACGUUUUGGGGGAAAUGGCAAGGAAGGAAUGGAAUGGUGUAGUGUUUUUUGUGUUCAAUCCAACACUAGUGGGAAGCAACCUGGCAUGUUGGUGGUGAUGAACUGUUGAUUGGCAAGCUAUCAUUGAUUCUCAACGUUUGGAUGUGGUUUCUUCAGAGAGGCCUGGACCCAUUGAUAAUGCUGAUUUAGUAGAAAAUAUUAAUGGUCCUGAAGGUGAUGCUCUAGAGCUUCUAGAAAUUUGGUGGAAGGGCAGGACUAUGUUUUAGUUCCUCAACAAGUUUGGGAAAAGCUUUUUCACUGGGUGAAUGAAUUUUUUAAUUGCUUCCAUGGGGGAAAUGGCAAGGAAGGAAUUGAAUGGUGUAAGCUUUUUCAUUGGAACAUGACUAUUUAAAACUACUAACUUGCCCACUAGUUCUCAAAUACGACAAAACAUUCUCUUGUUCAGUGCUCCAAAUUAUGAUGGAUGAAUCCCGGUAAAAAUACUUUCAAUUUCUCCCUUUUGUUUUUCCAGUUUAAUCUUAGCAAAUGUGUGUACUGAAAUUAGUUAAUUGAUAUUUGAUCCCACACAUUUGCAUCUAAGAGAAAAUUAAAAAAGUUCUACCACCACAAGUUAUGUAUGUGUGUGCUGAAAUAAUCUUUAUUUCAAGAUUGAUUUGAUUUUCAUGUCAGCAUGUUUAUCGUUUGUAAUGUUGCAUGCACAUCUCUUUUUAUUGUGUUUGCUACUGCUAUGUUCAUUGUUUGCUUGACUACUGCAAGGAUAUGAGUUCUGGUGUUUCUUUAUUUACUAUCUAAGGCUAAUGUUCUGUUAGAAAGUGGUGAAGCAAUUUUGGUGAGCACAUGAUAUGUUUCAUGUGCCAUUUAGGCAGGUUUGUUCAUACUGCAUUAUGAUCACUUGGGCUGGUGAAAUCCUAGAGUUUUGCUAUCACAUAGUUGUACAUGCAUAGAAAUAAAGAUAUUGAUUUUUUUAUGUAUAGGAGUUAUAUUUAAUAAGAUUGGAAAAGAUUUCUUUCAUGGAUUGAUUGCUACUGAAAUCAAUCUCUGACAUGCUUCUUGUGAGUCGCAUCACUGUAUUUUAAUGAGUCGCGUCACUAUAUAAAGAGGGCUCAUGAUUUGUUUCGCUUCUUAUUCUAAACAUUUUUUAACAUCUUGUAAGGUAGAAUAUGAUACUUCUUGGCAGAGGUAAGAAUACACAUCCUUCCGUCUACAGUUACAUUUUUUGGAGGCUGAAAAUUGUCUAAGUUUGCUGAUAUGAUCUUAUAAUCUCCUAGAAGUGAAAUUUUCACAGAUAAUGGGAUUUCAUAUCACAAAAUGUUUGAAGGGUUAUGCAAAUGUUCAUUCUAUCCUCUUCCUUCACAAUUUGUAUGUACUUGAAGAUAAAAGUGAAUUAUGAAACACUUGAUUGUACAUAAUACAUAGAUUCUUAAGUCACUUAUAACAACUUUUUAGUUUUUAUUA
Molecule: long non-coding RNA, 1855 nt
Organism: Mangifera indica (mango)
Lineage: Eukaryota; Viridiplantae; Streptophyta; Magnoliopsida; Sapindales; Anacardiaceae
Exons: 5
Source: RefSeq, a predicted model, not a curated record